AGAGCGUAUGGCGGAUGCCUAGGCACAGAGAGGCGAAGAAGGACGCAGCAAACAGCGAAAUGCGACGGUUAGCAGUAAGCAUGCAACGAUCCGUCGAUGUCCGAAUGGGGGAACCCAUCCGGGAUAGAGACCGGAUAUCCUGCAGUGAACAGAUAGCUGCAGAGAGGCGAGACUCAGGGAACUGAAACAUCUAAGUACCUGAAGGAAGAGAAAAUAAACGAAUGAUUCCCUAAGUAGCGGCGAGCGAAAGGGGAAGAGCCCAAACCGAUCUUAGGAUCGGGGUUGUAGGACUGUCGGCAAAGAGCAAGAAAUCAUUAUAGGCGAACGGAAUGGGAAGUCCGGCGAAACAGGGUGACAGCCCCGUAGCCGAAAUAGUGAAGAAGCACGAGACAGCACCUGAGUACGGCGGGACACGAGGAAUCCUGUCGGAAUCCACCAGGACCAUCUGGUAAGGCUAAAUACUCCUCUGUGACCGAUAGUGAACCAGUACCGUGAGGGAAAGGUGAAAAGAACCCCGGGAGGGGAGUGAAAUAGAACCUGAAACCAUAUGCUUACAAGAAGUUAGAGCCCGUUAAAGGGUGAUAGCGUGCCUUUUGUAGAAUGAACCGGCGAGUUACGAUAUGCAGCGAGGUUAAGCAGGAUAUGCGGAGCCGAAGCGAAAGCGAGUCUUAACAGGGCGCUAGUUGCAUGUCGUAGACCCGAAACCGAGUGAUCUAGCCAUGACCAGGUUGAAGUUGGGGUAAAACCCGAUGGAGGACCGAACCGACCCCCGUUGAAACGUUGGCGGAUGAGUUGUGGCUAGGGGUGAAAUUCCAAUCGAACUCGGAGAUAGCUGGUUCUCCCCGAAAUAGCUUUAGGGCUAGCGUCGAGAGAGAGUCAUGUGAAGGUAGAGCACUGAAUAUGUGAUGGCCCCAUCCCGGGGUACUGAAUAUAAUCAAACUCCGAAUGUCACAGAGACAUGCUCGGCAGUCAGACAGCGGGUGAUAAGGUCCACUGUCAAGAGGGAAACAGCCCAGACCAUCAGCUAAGGUCCCAAAAUAUAUACUAAGUGGAAAAGGAUGUGGAGAUGUCCAGACAACUAGGAGGUUGGCUCAGAAGCAGCCAUCCUUUAAAGAGUGCGUAACAGCUCACUAGUCGAAUGACUCUGCGCCGAUAAUUUACCGGGGCUAAGUAUAUUACCGAAGCUAUGGAUUUACGCGUAAGCGUGAGUGGUAGGGGAGCGUUCUAUGUGCGGAGAAGCGGUACCGUAAGGAGCCGUGGAGCGCAUAGAAGAGAGAAUGCCGGUGUGAGUAGCGAAACGUGGGUGAGAAUCCCACGCACCGAAAACCCAAGGUUUCCAGAGGAAGGUUCGUCCGCUCUGGGUAAGUCGGGACCUAAGGCGAGGCCGAGAGGCGUAGUCGAUGGACAACAGGUAGAGAUUCCUGUACUUACGGUAUGAAUGAAGGAGUGACGGAGAAGGCUAGGUGAUCCUGCGGCUGGAAGAGCAGGUGCAAGCGAGGUAGCCGACAGCCAGGCAAAUCCGGCUGUCGAAAGGCAAAGGCGUGAGGCGUAUGGAAAGCUGCGGCAAGUACAGAAGUCCGUGAAGCCAGCUUCCAAGAAAAGCUUCUAGUGAUAAUCAUACAGUAACCCGUACCGAAAAUGGACACACAUGGGUGAGGAGAGAAUCCUAAGGUGAGCGAGAGAACUAUAGCUAAGGAACUCUGCAAAAUGACUCCGUAACUUAGGGAUAAGGAGUGCUCAUAGAGAUAUGAGCCGCAGUGAAACGGCCCAAGCGACUGUUUACCAAAAACACAGCUCUAUGCUAAGUCGAAAGACGACGUAUAUGGGGUGACGCCUGCCCGGUGCUGGAAGGUUAAGAGGAUGUGUCAGCGCAAGCGAAGCAUUGAAUUGAAGCCCCAGUAAACGGCGGCCGUAACUAUAACGGUCCUAAGGUAGCGAAAUUCCUUGUCAGGUAAGUUCUGACCCGCACGAAUGGCGUAACGAUUUGGACGCUGUCUCAACAAUGGACUCGGCGAAAUUGUAGUACCGGUGAAGAUGCCGGUUACCCGCGAUAGGACGGAAAGACCCCGUAGAGCUUUACUGUAGCUUGGCAUUGGAUUUCGGCAUUGGAUGUACAGGAUAGGUGGGAGACAUGGAAGCGAGUACGCCAGUAUUCGUGGAGUCGCCCUUGGGAUACCACUCUUCUGAUGUUGAGGUUCUAACAACAGGCCGUGAUCCGGCUGUUGGACAGUACCAGGUGGGCAGUUUGACUGGGGCGGUCGCCUCCCAAAGAGUAACGGAGGCGCCCAAAGGUCUCUUCAGCAUGGUCGGAAAUCAUGCAUUAGAGUGCAAAGGCAUAAAGAGGCUUGACUGCGAGAGAGACAUUUCGAGCAGGUACGAAAGUAGGGCUUAGUGAUCCGGCGGUAUGAGAGUGGAAUUGCCGUCGCUCAACGGAUAAAAGCUACCUCGGGGAUAACAGGCUUAUCUCCCCCAAGAGUCCACAUCGACGGGGAGGUUUGGCACCUCGAUGUCGGCUCGUCGCAUCCUGGGGCUGGAGCAGGUCCCAAGGGUUUGGCUGUUCGCCAAUUAAAGCGGCACGCGAGCUGGGUUCAGAACGUCGUGAGACAGUUCGGUCCCUAUCCAUCGUGGGCGUAAGAAGUUUGAGAGGAGCUGUUCUUAGUACGAGAGGACCGGGAUGGACGCACCGCUGGUGUACCAGUUGUUCUGCCAAGGGCAUAGCUGGGUAGCUAAGUGCGGACGGGAUAAACGCUGAAGGCAUCUAAGCGUGAAGCCCCCCUCAAGAUGAGACUUCUCAUCCUUUAAGGAGUAAGACCCCUUGU
This 2819-nucleotide ribosomal RNA is filed under the name human gut metagenome. RNAcentral describes it as "bacterial LSU rRNA". It matches the Rfam family "Bacterial large subunit ribosomal RNA". The record is from RNAcentral.